RNAcentral lists this ribosomal RNA (465 nucleotides) under uncultured bacterium. RNAcentral's name for it is "partial 16S ribosomal RNA". It matches the Rfam family "Bacterial small subunit ribosomal RNA", at positions 338 to 795 of the family's 1533-position model. The record is from RNAcentral.
CCUACGGGAGGCAGCAGUGGGGAAUAUUGCGCAAUGGGCGAAAGCCUGACGCAGCGACGCCGCGUGAGGGAUGAAGGUCUUCUGAUCGUAAAACUCUGUCAGCAGGGAAGAACGGUCACUGUGCUAAUCAGCAGUGAAUUGACGGUACCUGCAAGGGAAGCACCGGCUAACUCCGUGCCAGCAGCCGCGGUAAUACGGAGGGUGCGAGCGUUAAUCGGAAUUACUGGGCGUAAAGCGCGCGUAGGCGGUAGGUCAAGUCAAGGGUGAAAUCCCCGCGCUCAACGUGGGAACUGCCUUUGAAACUGGCAAACUGGAGUGUGUGAGAGGAUAGUGGAAUGUCAGGUGUAGGAGUGAAAUCCGUAGAGAUCUGGAGGAACAUCAGUGGCGAAGGCGACUAUCUGGGACAUAACUGACGCUGAGGAGCGAAAGCGUGGGUAGCAAACAGGAUUAGAUACCCGAGUAGUC